RNAcentral lists this long non-coding RNA (1296 nucleotides) under Pongo abelii (Sumatran orangutan). Its description in RNAcentral is "lincRNA". The record is from RNAcentral. Lineage: Eukaryota; Metazoa; Chordata; Mammalia; Primates; Hominidae.
GGCGGAGAAGCAGAGGAGAGGGAGGCUGGAAGCACGUUUGGCCCGGGACAGAAAUCUGGAGAGCUUGGCUACCUCCAUCCUCCUCAGGCCGGAGCAGGCUUCCUGAGAGAGUCCAGGUCGUAGGAGUUUUACGACUUAGAAAAGCGGGCUACAGAUUCCUUCCUGGGUGUUUGGUUCAAGCCUUGGCUCCGGCCUUAUUCUCAGUCUUCCCUGGAGUUCGUGGGAUUUGGACCUUAGAUUAUUAGCAUUAUUUUGAGGGCCUCCUGUGUGUAAGCACUGGUUGUGCGCAGAUGGCUGUGCAGAGCGCCAGGAGGUAGAGGCUGGGGAAAUGAGGGCUCGGAGGUGCUUGAGGUGUAGUCUUUACCUACGUGAAAUGUUGGAGGUUGAGAUGAGAACUCUUGCUUUGAAUUCUUCAUGGAGGACUACAUCAUUUCAAUCCUGAAUCUGGCUCAAUUCUAUUAUUCACUUAUUACUGUAUUAAAAACGUUUAAUUGGCCGGGCACAGUGGUUCACGCCUGUAAUCCCAGCACUUUGGGAGGCCAAGGCAGGCGGAUCACUUGAGGUCAGGAGUUUGAGACCAGCCUGGCCAACAUGGCAAAACCCCACCUCUACUAAAAAUACAAAAAUUAGCUGGGCGUGGCGGCACGCACCUGUAAUCACAGCUACUUGUGAGGCUGAGGUGGCAGAAUUGUUUGAACCCAGGAGGUGGAGGUUGCAGUGAGCCGAGAUCACGCCACUGCACUCAAGCCUUGGCAUCAGAGUGAGACUCUGUCUCAGUAAAAAAAUAAAUAAAAUAAAAAUGUUUAAUUAACCGUGAUAUUUGCUUUGGUAAAACCUUUGAGGUUUAACGAGAAUUUUAAAAUUCAUUAUACUUUUCUUAUAGCAUAUAAAAGUUUUAGUAUUUUUUUAUUGUCUCAACUAACAUCAUAAAUGUCUUAAUGUUAAAAUCCAUGGGAUAUUCUAUUUAAAAUUUUAGCUUUAUCACCUUUGUGCUAUCAGAGAAUGUGCUUUGAACUGGUAAAAUGAGUUAAAGUAUUGGAAAACACUUAUGUCAGUAGAGGCUCUUAAAAAUCAUUUUCAUCCUUCCUCUUCUAGUGAUGAUUUUUUUUUAACCCAUGUUUUCACCAGUCUGCCAAUCCAAUGGCAUAAAUGCUCCUACACAGGCAACUUAAGUGUUUCUUAAGUUGAUGCAAGGUAUUUUGCAUGAGGCUGAAUUCUUGUUGUUGGAGCAGAGGAUUUUUGUUCCAACUACUGAAUUGGCAAAAUGUUAAUAUAAAAACACCUCAAAAAGUCAAA